AUUUAAAUAGUUUAUAAAAAAUUUUGAUUUGUGGAAUCAAAGAAAUAUUAAUU
This 53-nucleotide transfer RNA is filed under the name Paduniella fasciaria. RNAcentral describes it as "tRNA-His". Lineage: Eukaryota; Metazoa; Arthropoda; Insecta; Trichoptera; Psychomyiidae. The record is from RNAcentral.